GGGAAGGUAGCUCAGUGGUAGAGCACUUGCCUUGCAUGCCAGUGGCCCUGGGUUCGAUUCCUCAGCACCA
Molecule: non-coding RNA, 70 nt
Organism: Dipodomys ordii (Ord's kangaroo rat)
Lineage: Eukaryota; Metazoa; Chordata; Mammalia; Rodentia; Heteromyidae
Source: Rfam